AACGAACGCUGGCGGCAGGCCUAACACAUGCAAGUCGAACGCCCCGCAAGGGGAGUGGCAGACGGGUGAGUAACGCGUGGGAACGUACCCUUCGGUUCGGAAUAACCCGGGGAAACUCGGGCUAAUACCGGAUACGUCCGCAAGGAGAAAGAUUUAUCGCCGAAGGAUCGGCCCGCGUCGGAUUAGCUAGUUGGUGGGGUAAUGGCCCACCAAGGCGACGAUCCGUAGCUGGUCUGAGAGGAUGAUCAGCCACACUGGGACUGAGACACGGCCCAGACUCCUACGGGAGGCAGCAGUGGGGAAUAUUGGACAAUGGGCGAAAGCCUGAUCCAGCCAUGCCGCGUGGGUGAAGAAGGCCUUAGGGUUGUAAAGCUCUUUCAGCGGGAAGAUAAUGACGUACCCGCAGAAGAAGCCCCGGCUAACUUCGUGCCAGCAGCCGCGGUAAC
This 446-nucleotide ribosomal RNA is filed under the name uncultured bacterium. RNAcentral describes it as "bacterial SSU rRNA". It matches the Rfam family "Bacterial small subunit ribosomal RNA", at positions 29 to 524 of the family's 1533-position model. The record is from RNAcentral.